Antechinus flavipes (yellow-footed antechinus) is the source of this 4774-nucleotide long non-coding RNA. RefSeq lists it as uncharacterized. The transcript is spliced from 2 exons. Lineage: Eukaryota; Metazoa; Chordata; Mammalia; Dasyuromorphia; Dasyuridae. The record is from RefSeq and is a predicted model, not a curated record.
UAAUGAAUGAUGGCCAUGUUUUGCAUAUUCAUUCCUUCUAUUCUGUUAUCGCCUUCAAUCGGGAAAGACUGCAAAAUCUUAUUUGCUUUAGUCAUUCCUCCUAGAUUAUAUCACUAGAGCCUUAAUACAAGAGCCCAGGGAAUCUAAAAAUGGACCACGUGGUUCUGUACAAGUGAGGCAGAACAGACAAAACACUCUUGUGCUUGGAAAAUAUUCAGAAGGAAUCAAAUUUUCGGAAAUGAAACCAGCUGCGUGGCUUCUGUCUUGUCUGAGUCUGGCCUGGGAGUGGUCCCUGAAUCACUGGCAGGAAGGACAGUCAGCUGAUGCCAAGGGAGGAGCGGCUACUGCAUUGUAAUCAGUCGGCAAACAUUGCUUUCAGAGAGCCUUAUUUGGGAAGCAGGCUACGUGGCAAUGAUCUUAUUUUUCAGGAAAGGUGGCUGUUAAACAUUUGCAGAAUCCCUCACCCAGACGACAAUGUAUAAUCUUCCUACUGGUACCCUCGUAAACAAAGCAGGAACCAAGGCAUUUUGGGCACAAAACUUAAUAAAUGAUAGGCUCUUUCAGAACAGGGCCUAAGUCAUAUUUAUUUUUCUUUCAUUUAAUUUAUUUAUUAUUUUCUCAUUUAAAGUCACAUAGGUAGUAAAAGCCAUGGAUAGGACUGGGCAUUCAAUGGGUGCUUAAUUAAUGUUGAUGAAUUAAAUACCUCAAAAAUUGGUUGAAUGCAUGAAUGAACCCAACAACUUCCCAUGAGGCAAGGCUUCUUGCUGCUUUUUUUUGCUGCUUUUUCCCACCCCCAUCAGAAAAGCAUGAAAAGUAAAGAUUCCUCCCACGGCCAAAAGACAAAUGCCUGAGUACUUUCUGGGGGCGUCUGACCUGAAUAGAAAUCUGAAAGAUCAUCAGCUAUUUUCAAAAUGAGAUAGUAGGAAAAAGAGAAGAUCUGGGUUCAGCUGCUACCUCCACUUUUUACUGAUUGUGCAACCUAAAGCCAUGUAAGCCAUGGGACUACAGAGACUAUUUAGCCCACUCAGUUUGCACAAGCUCUGUGCCCAUGAGAUCACAGGUCCAGAGUUGGAAAGUCCCUUUGAGGUCAUCUAGGCCAAGCCUUUCAUUUUAGAGAGAAGUCAAGAGAGCCAAAGUCACAAAGCCAGUCUAAACAUAACGUGUGGGUUUGAACCCAGGGCCCCUGUGACUGCACCAGGCGGUCUCCUACCAUAUCUUGUUUGACCACUGUUUUUUCAUUUGUAAAAUGAAGCAGUUAGUCUAAAUCAUCUUUAAGGCUCCUUUGGAUUUGUAAUGUUAUAAUCUAAGCUCCCUUUCACUCAUGAUAUUCUAUGUUCCAAGGUCCUUUCCAGCAUGGACAUUCUAGAUUCCAAGUUCUCUUCCAAGUCAAACAUUCCAAAAUGAAUUCUAAGGGCUUACCAGCUCCAGCAUUCUGUGUUUUAAUACCUCUCCCCCUUUAACAAUCCAUGUUCUAAUGUCUCUCCCAGCUUUGAUAGUUUGUAUUCUCAGAGCCUUUCUAGCUCUGACAAGUCUAUGUACUAAGGUUCUUCCCAGUUCUGAUGCUCUAUGUUCUAAAGUUCCUCCCAACUCUGACAUUCCCUAUCCUUAUAUGGCCCUUCUGGCUCUGAUAGUUUAUGCGUUAAUGUCCCUCCCAGCCCUGACAUCCCAUGUUCUAAGGGCCCUCCCAGCUCUGACCUCCUGGGUUCUAAGGGCCCUCCCAGCUCUGACCUCCUGGGUUCUAAGGGCCCUCCCAGCUCUGACCUCCUGGGUUCUAAGCUCCCUCCCAGCUCUGACCUCUGGGGUUCUAAGGACCCUCCCAGCUCUGACCUCCUGGGUUCUAAGAGCCCUCCCAGCUCUGACCUCUGGGGUUCUAAGCUCCCUCCCAGCUCUGACCUCUGGAGUUCUAAGGACCCUCCCAGCUCUGACCUCCUGGGUUCUAAGAGCCCUCCCAGCUCUGACCUCUGGGGUUCUAAGCUCCCUCCCAGCUCUGACCUCUGGGGUUCUAAGGCCCUCCUAGCUCCCACAUUCUGUGUUCUAAGGGCCCUCCCAGAUCUGACUUUUAUGCACUAAUCUAACUUCCCUUCCUCCCUCUCCCCCCCCCUCUGAUUUCUCUGUUCCAAGGCCCCUCCCAGCUCUGACUUCUACGCCCGAAUGUCCCGCCCAGUUCCGAUUCUCUGUGUUCAGCAUCCAAUGGAAUAGGAGAAAGGGGAGGAGCGUACUUAAUUCUGCCUCUCCUAAGGGGACUGAAAAACCCCUCUCCAACUUCCAGCAACAAGCAGACCCAGUCCCCAGAAGCUGGGUCCUGUUCUUUAUUGUGACAGGUCGUCAAGAAGGCAGGAGACGGUCCCGUCGGGACGCACAGGGAAGACGACCGUCGCUAACUAAGGCGGCGCAGCCGGAGACGGUCCCCAGCGGCGUCCGCAGGAAGGUUUACCCAGCGGAGGGGAGGAGCCUUUGAACGGAGGCCGGAGGCAGCCCCAGGCUCCACCCCCGCCGGGCUCUGUGCUGGCAGCUCAAUCUCUGCCCUGCCCUCAUGCCCAAUAGGAAACGAGAGCCGCCCCGCUUCCACAGUAGCCGGCAUUUACUUCCAGGGAAUGAAGCGUUGCCCCUCCCCCCUCCCAAAUCGGCUCGGAUCCAGACCCUGAUUCACUGGCCAGUCUGCCCGCGCGUCCCUGCGCUGUCUUCUGCUCCCUGCCGGAGGAUGCCAGGAAACGCACGGUAAAACGCAAGCAACCAGAUUCCUCCGCCAGCCGCACCGAGGCGGGUCACAUUCCCACAGAGAGCUCCCAAAAGGGCGGAUUGGCGAGGCUCCCUCCGGCCCGCUCUGACCUCUGCUGGCCGUCCUUUUUCCCGACCCAGAUUUGCACUAAAGCGCCCCGAGCUGGUCAGCUGGUGUGCAGCCCACAGGCACCGGGCCAGAAGCUCUAAGGCCCGUUUGUCCCCAGGUCCAGCGAGCAGCGCCCGUGUCACUAACGAAUUCCGUGCCCGAGACUAAGUACAAAGUGUCCAGCUCCUCUCCCGAAUGGCCUCGGGGACCCCAGAGCCGUGUUUUAUACCUUUCUCUGCUCCCUCGGCCACUCCUAGCCCCGACCCGGAAAGUUACGCGUCAGGCCUUUGUUUAUCAUUCGGAGAGAUCAGGGAAAGCUUCCUGGAGAAGGCAGCAACUCCGCAGGUGGAGGAUGGGGAAGGAGGGCACUUUGGACGUGAGAAAUAAUAGCCUGAGCACCAACAUGGAAGUGGGGGAUAGAGUCAGGUUCGGAGGAGCGCGGAGUUUUGAAAGGCCUAUGUGUCGGGGAAAAAUACCUGGAGUUUAUUCAGCAGCCUAUGAGAUGUCACCAAUGUUUUUGAGCAGAGGGAGGGAGAAAGAUUAUGCUAGCAAUGGUGUGAUGGAAGAAUUGGAGGAGAAAUGGAAAUUGAAUGAAGAUUGAAGCAUACUAUUUUUCCUUUUUGUUUUGAUUUUUCUCUCCCAACACGACAUAUGGAAAUAUGCAAAAAGGAUGUAUUUUUUUAAAUUUUAAAUAAAAACGAAUAUAUGGCUAACCUAAAAAAUAAAAUAUAUAAAUAAAAAAAUUUAAAAAGAAAAGCAAAAAAAAAAAAAAUUGGAAGAGGAAGACUUUGGAGGAAAGGAGACCAGUUAGCAGGCUAGUGCCACAGUAUAAGCAGAGAACAGAAAAGUUUUGCUAUUAGAAUCAUAAUGGUGAAUAAAGAGGAAGUAAUGCAAUAGAUAUUAUAGAAAUGAAAUAGAUAAAAAAUAGAACUUCACAACUGAUUAAUGAACUCAGUAUUUCCAUUGCUAUUGGAAAAAUGUUGAUCAAGGGGCCGCAGGGGAUAGAGUACCAGCCCUGAAGUCAGGAAGACUUGAAUUCAAAUACGACCUCAAACACUUAAUACUUCCUAGCUGUGUGACCCCGGGCAAGUCACUUAAUCCCAAUUGCCCAAUAAUAAUAAAAUAAAAAAACAAAAUGUUGAUCAACUCCUCCAUGACUUCCCUGAGUAUUUCUGGGUCUUCCCAGGCCAAAAUACCUCUUUCCUAUCAUCAAUCCCCUAUAAGUCCUGUCUCCCCUUAGAGUAUAUGCUCCUUGAGGACAAACACUACAUAUCUUGUUUUUAAUAAAUUCUUUUGUUUUAAAUUAUCUUGACAAAGAAGCUCUAGAAAGGCACAUGGUAUAUGUAAAAAGACCACAGUAUAUUGCCAAUAAUGACCUAAAAUUAUCAUUAAUGACACCUAUGAUCAAAAAAAGGAAGAGGCCUAGUCAUUUAUCAAGUUCAUAGGACAAUAGACUGAUAGCCUGAAAUAUGGUAGUAUUAUAUGUGUAUGUCUGGUGUGUACACAAACACACACACACACUCUAUAUAUAUAUGGAAUUGGAAAGUUUCCAAUAUAGUAGGGGUUGAUUUUCUAUGGAAAAUAUAUGGAAGGAAAGAAGACAAGAAGCAGACAGGAUGGAAAGUUGCAAAUAUGCUACAAUCCACCAAAGUGGAGAGAAUACCCAUACUCAUGAGUUCAUGGGUCUACUAAAUAAAUUGAAAGGAAGGCUUGUAGGGUUCAUUUAGAUAGACAGUAAGACAGACAGACAGAUAGAUAUAACUAUCCAUUUGUGUGUUUCACUUUUAGAUUUGUAUCCCCAACACUGACUCUCUUUUCCUCAUUUCCCACCCAGAUAUACUCAUUUUGGACUUCUCAUUUAGGAUUUCUUUGGCUUUUCCACCAUGCUCCAAACAUCUUUCUCCUCUCUACCCCAUCUUUUCAGAUUUGUAUUACAUUGAAAGAUGU